RNAcentral lists this ribosomal RNA (301 nucleotides) under uncultured bacterium. RNAcentral describes it as "partial 16S ribosomal RNA". It matches the Rfam family "Bacterial small subunit ribosomal RNA", at positions 509 to 807 of the family's 1533-position model. The record is from RNAcentral.
CAGCCGCCACGGGAAUACGUAGGGUGCGAGCGUUAAUCGGAAUUACUGGGCGUAAAGCGUGCGCAGGCGGUUGUGUAAGACAGGUGUGAAAUCCCCGGGCUUAACCCGGGAACUGCGCUUGUGACUGCACAGCUAGAGUAUGGCAGAGGGGGGUGGAAUUCCACGUGUAGCAGUGAAAUGCGUAGAGAUGUGGAGGAACACCGAUGGCGAAGGCAGCCCCCUGGGCCAAUACUGACGCUCAUGCACGAAAGCGUGGGGAGCAAACAGGAUUAGAUACCCCCGUAGUCCCUGUCUCUUAUAC